This 688-nucleotide unclassified non-coding RNA is filed under the name Hevea brasiliensis (rubber tree). The record is from RNAcentral. Lineage: Eukaryota; Viridiplantae; Streptophyta; Magnoliopsida; Malpighiales; Euphorbiaceae.
GGCAGACUGAAAAAUUCCUGCAAAAAAGGUUGUGGUAAGAACUAGAUUUCUGUAGGCAAUUGGAUUAGCUUCUGGAUCUUGAACUUUCGGAAUCAUUGAGGACAAAAGAAGUGAAACCACAGCAACUGGUCCAAUUGCUAUCUCUCUUGAAGUUCCCAUGACCGCAUAAAUUAGAGGCGGGAUUACACUUGUAUAGAGGCCGUAUUGAGGAUCAAGUUUGGCCAAAGUUGCAUAUCCAAUACCCUGAGGAAUGCAAAGGCUAGCAAGAGUUAGACCCGCCAGAAGAUCGUUCUUGAAUUUUGUUGCUUUGUAGUUUCGACUCCAAGUGAUGAUGGGAAAUAUUGCUCUCAAAACUGAAAGCACAGGUUUAUACCCAUGUUGGUUCCUAGAAGAUAGGAAGUUGCUGCACUGAGGCAAUAGAGAUUCGCUUAUGCAAUCCUUGAGCUCACGCCAGAGACUCGGUGGCUCAGGAGCAUUGAGCACCCACUGAGCCCUAUCAGCGUGACCAUUUUUCUCAUGGUCGAGCAUUUCUUGGGCAGCAGUAUUACUUUCAAUGUCCAAAGGAGCCAUUGUUUGAUUGAAGUGUUUGGGGGAACCAGGAGCGUUCUCCUGCUCUCUCUCACCACUCAUUCUUUCAAGAAGAGAACAUUAAUGUUUAAAGAAUGGUUCAGUAAGCACCAAGAUUUUG